RNAcentral lists this non-coding RNA (24 nucleotides) under Gossypium hirsutum (cotton). Lineage: Eukaryota; Viridiplantae; Streptophyta; Magnoliopsida; Malvales; Malvaceae. The record is from RNAcentral.
ACUUCCGGGAAAAUGCAGGAUGAA